This 324-nucleotide ribosomal RNA is filed under the name uncultured eukaryote. RNAcentral describes it as "partial 18S ribosomal RNA". It matches the Rfam family "Eukaryotic small subunit ribosomal RNA", at positions 1470 to 1796 of the family's 1831-position model. The record is from RNAcentral.
CCCUUAGAUGCUCUGGGCCGCACGCGCGCUACACUGGUCGAUGCAACGAGUUUCUUUCCUUGGCCGACAGGCCUGGGCAAUCUUUGAACAUCGAUCGUGAUCGGGAUAGAUUCUUGUAAUUUUCGAUCUUAAACGAGGAAUUCCUAGUAAACGCAAGUCAUCAGCUUGCAUUGAUUACGUCCCUGCCCUUUGUACACACCGCCCGUCGCACCUACCGAUUGAAUGGUCCGGUGAAAUCUCCGGACUGGCGUGAGUCGGAGCAAUCUGACAAACGCCGGAAAGUUGAUUAAACCUUACCAUUUAGAGGAAGGUGAAGUCGUAACA